Ictalurus punctatus (channel catfish) is the source of this 648-nucleotide long non-coding RNA. The record is from Ensembl. NCBI's taxonomy places the organism in Eukaryota, Metazoa, Chordata, Actinopteri, Siluriformes, Ictaluridae.
UGAUGAUGAUGAUGAUGAUGAUGAUGAUGAUGAUGAUGAUCCUUAAUAUUUAAGGAGAGGCAGAAAAGUGGGAAGUCAGUCCAGACAUUUCUAAUCCAGCUACAGAUUCCAGCUCCUCUUGCCGGAUCCCCAGACAUUACCACGGUGACUGAGAGCUAUAAUCUCUGUCCUGGGUCUGCCCCGGGGUCUCCGUCCAGCUCUACUUCAAGUGUCUCUCAGAUUCUCGAGAUCCUCACCUUAUCGUGGAGAUUAAGCCCAGCAAUCCUGUGAAGGAAACUCAUUUUCUCCAAUAAGAUGGCAUCACAAACCUGCUGAUGAGCAACGACACCAAGGGAGGAACCUCACAACGCUGCAGAAGGAAGAAGGUUUUAGAGAAAAGAUAAAAUCACUGGAAUAAUUCUGCAAAACUUUCUGUGAUGGCUUUCUGCUUCUCAUCACAUCUCACAUCAACAAUCUGACCGCUGUUUCUGAAAUCUAUGGGUAAAUUCUCCAUCACUGUUACGUGGUGAUCCACAGACUGAAUUUCAACUCGAGUCUUCAUCUUCUGUUUCUGGAUCAUGAAAGGAGAAGUGAGCGGAUGUUUGUUUCGAGGCAGGAAAUAAACUGUUGAAAUUCGUUCUGUUCAUUUCAGGAAUAUAUGUGUGUGUG